This 1455-nucleotide ribosomal RNA is filed under the name uncultured Bordetella sp. RNAcentral's name for it is "partial 16S-23S ribosomal RNA intergenic spacer". It matches the Rfam family "Bacterial small subunit ribosomal RNA". The record is from RNAcentral. Lineage: Bacteria; Pseudomonadati; Pseudomonadota; Betaproteobacteria; Burkholderiales; Alcaligenaceae.
CAGUGUGGCUCGAGAUUGAACGCUGGCGGGAUGCUUUACGCUGGAAUCAGGCAACGCUGGACUUCGGUCUGGUGGCGAGUGGCGAACGGGUGAGUAAUGUAUCGGGAACGUGCCUAGUAGCGGGGGAUAACUGCGGCGUGAAAAGCAAUACCGCACAUACGCCCUUCCAGGAAAGCGGGGGACCUUCGGGCCUCGCACUAUUAGAGCGGCCGAUAUCUGGAUUAGCGUUGGUGGGGUAACGGCUCACCAAGGCGACGAUCCGUAGCUGGUUUGAGAGGACGACCAGCCACACUGGGACUGAGACACGGCCAGACUCCUACAGGAGAGCAGCAGUGAAAUUUUGGACAAUGGGAAACCUGAUCCAGCCAUCCCGCGUGUGCGAUAAGCCUUCGGGUUGUAAAGCACUUUUGGCAGGAAAAACGGCACGGGAUAAUACCCCGUGCAAUGACGGUACCUGCAGAAUAAGCACCGGCUAACUACGUGCCAGCGGCGCGGGUAAUACGUAGGGUGCAAACGUUAAUCGGUGCCUGGGCGUAAAGCGUGCGCAGGCGGUUCGGAAGAAGAUGUGAAAUCCCAGAGCUUAACUUUGGAACUGCAUUUUUAACUACCGAGCUAGAGAGUGUGUCAGAGGAGGUGGAAUUCACGCGUGUAGCAGUGAAAUGCGUGAACCAUGCGGAGGAACACCGAUGGCGAAGGCAACCUCACAGGAUACGCGAGCGCUCAUGCACGAAAGCGCGGAGCGACAGGAUUAGAUACCCUGGUAGUCCACGCUUUUUAAACGAUGUCAACUAGCUGUUGGGGCCUUCGGGCCUUGGUAGCGCAACUAGCGUGAAGUUCUGACCGCCUGGGAGUACGGUCGCAGGAACCCAAAACUCAAAGGAAUUGACGGGGACCCGCACAAGCGGUUGAUGUGGAUUAAUUCGAUGCAACGCGAAACCUUACCUACCUUGACGUAACCUGGAAUCCCGAAGAGAUUUGGGAGUGCUCGCAAGAGAACCGGAACACAGGUGCUGCAUGGCUGUCGUCAGCUCGUGUCGUGGAUGUUGGAGUUGAAGUCCCGCAACGAGCGCAACCCUUGUGCAUUAGUUGCUACGAAGGGCACUCUAAUGAGACUGCUUUCAGUGACAAACCGGAGGAAGGUGGGGAUGACGUCAAGUCCUCAUGGCCCUUAUGGGUAGGGCUUCACACGUCAUACAAUGGUCGGGACUGGGGUCGCCAACCCGCAGGGAGCCAAUCCCAGAAACCCGAUCGUAGUCCGGAUCGCAGUCUGCAAGCUCGACUGCGUGAAGUCAGAUCGUAGUAAUCGCGGAUCAGCAUGUCGCGGUGAAUACGUUCCCGGGUCUUGUACACACCGCCCGUCACACCAUGGGAGUGGGUUUUACCAGAAGUAGUUAACCGUAAGGAGGGCGAUUACACUGUGGUUUCAUGACUGGGGGUGAAGUCGUAACAAGGUAA